UGGGGAAUAUUGCACAAUGGGCGCAAGCCUGAUGCAGCCAUGCCGCGUGUAUGAAUAAGGCCUUCGGGUUGUAAAGUACUUUCAGCGGGGAGGAAGGGAGUAAAGUUAAUACCUUUGCUCAUUGACGUUACCCGCAGAAGAAGCACCGGCUAACUCCGUGCCAGCAGCCGCGGUAAUACGUAGGGUGCAAGCGUUAAUCGGAAUUACUGGGCGUAAAGCGCACGCAGGCGGUUUGUUAAGUCCGGUGUGAAAUCCCCGGGCUCAACCUGGGAACUGCAUCUGAUACUGGGAAGCUUGAGUCUCGUAGAGGGAGGUAGAAUUCCAGGUGUAGCGGUGAAAUGCGUGGAGAUCUGGAGGAAUACCGGUGGCGAAGGCGGCCCCCUGGACGAAGACUGACGCUCAGGUGCGAAAGCGUGGGGAGCAAACAGG
This 429-nucleotide ribosomal RNA is filed under the name Chloroflexota bacterium. Its description in RNAcentral is "Chloroflexi bacterium partial 16S ribosomal RNA". It matches the Rfam family "Bacterial small subunit ribosomal RNA", at positions 355 to 776 of the family's 1533-position model. Lineage: Bacteria; Bacillati; Chloroflexota. The record is from RNAcentral.